GUGACCAGUGGUGUUCCACA
Molecule: microRNA, 20 nt
Filed under: Chiloscyllium plagiosum (whitespotted bambooshark)
Lineage: Eukaryota; Metazoa; Chordata; Chondrichthyes; Orectolobiformes; Hemiscylliidae
Description: microRNA PC-5p-434930_1
Source: RNAcentral